This 484-nucleotide ribosomal RNA is filed under the name uncultured bacterium. RNAcentral describes it as "partial 16S ribosomal RNA". It matches the Rfam family "Bacterial small subunit ribosomal RNA", at positions 28 to 523 of the family's 1533-position model. The record is from RNAcentral.
GAUGAACGCUGGCGGCGUGCUUAACACAUGCAAGUCGAACGAGAGAAGAUCGGUGCUUGCACUGAUCCGAUCGAGUGGCGGACGGGUGAGUAACGCGUGGGUAACCUGCCUCAUACAGGGGAAUAACAGUUGGAAACGGCUGCUAAAACCGCAUAAGCGCACAGUAUCGCAUGAUACAGUGUGAAAAACUCCGGUGGUAUGAGAUGGACCCGCGUCUGAUUAGCUAGUUGGUGAGGUAACGGCCCACCAAGGACACGAUCAGUAGCCGGCCUGAGAGGGUGAACGGCCACAUUGGGACUGAGACACGGCCCAAACUCCUACGGGAGGCAGCAGUGGUGAAUAUUGCACAAUGGGGGAAACCCUGAUGCAGCGACGCCGCGUGAGUGAUGAAGUAUUUCGGUAUGUAAAGCUCUAUCAGCAGGGAAGAUAAUGACGGUACCUGACUAAGAAGCACCGGCUAAAUACGUGCCAGCCGCCGCGGUAA